This 104-nucleotide small nuclear RNA is filed under the name Notamacropus eugenii (tammar wallaby). The record is from RNAcentral. Lineage: Eukaryota; Metazoa; Chordata; Mammalia; Diprotodontia; Macropodidae.
UUGGUCUUGGCAGCACAUAUGCUAAAAUUGGAACGAUACAGAAAAGAUGAGCAUGGCCCCUGUGCAAGGAUGACACACAAAUUCGUGAAGUAUCCCAAAAUUAG